RNAcentral lists this ribosomal RNA (460 nucleotides) under uncultured bacterium. Its description in RNAcentral is "partial 16S ribosomal RNA". It matches the Rfam family "Bacterial small subunit ribosomal RNA", at positions 338 to 795 of the family's 1533-position model. The record is from RNAcentral.
CCUACGGGUGGCAGCAGUGAGGAAUAUUGGUCAAUGGGCGCGAGUCUGAACCAGCCAAGUAGCGUGAAGGAUGACUGCCCUACGGGUUGUAAACUUCUUUUAUAAAGGAAUAAAGUGAGGCUCGUGUGCCUUUUUGUAUGUACUUUAUGAAUAAGGAUCGCCUAACUACGCGCCAGCAGCCGCGGUAAUACGGAGGAUCCGAGGGUUAUCCGGAUUUAUUGGGUUUAAAGGGAGCGUAGAUGGGUUGUUAAGUCAGAUGUGAAAGUCUGCGGCUCAACCGUAGAAUUGCAAUUGAUACUGGCGGUCUUGAGUACAGUAGAGGUAGGCGGAAUUCGUGGUGUAGCGGUGAAAUGCUUAGAUAUCACGAAGAACUCCGAUUGCGAAGGCAGCUUACUGGACUGCAACUGACACUGAUGCUCGAAAGUGUGGGUAUCAAACAGGAUUAGAUACCCUGGUAGUC